Molecule: long non-coding RNA, 378 nt
Filed under: Dermacentor andersoni
Lineage: Eukaryota; Metazoa; Arthropoda; Arachnida; Ixodida; Ixodidae
Description: uncharacterized LOC126547708
Source: RNAcentral
CGAAUUUUGCUCUGCACGUGCAGUAGUUCUUACUCGUAUAAAAAGGCGAGUUCCAUCUACGAUUGGCUGCGAACUUCCAAAUAGUAGACGCUCUGCAAACAACUGAGCAUCAGCUUUUCCGGAGCUUUACCAAAAGAAGCAUGCAGCUGAAAGUGAUCCUGGUGGGCUUGGCCAUCUUUGGUCUUAUUGUGGCAGAGAGCGAUGCUGCGUCGGCCAGCAGCUCCAUUGAAGCGGAAGCCAGAGCAGAUCCCGAGACUGCUGAGCGUGCCGAGCAAGGCGGCGCCGAGGAGGCACGCAUCAGUGAGGCAUGCAUGGCUUCCCUGUGCGGGUAGUAACCUGACCCAAGAGAGCGACACGUUUGAACGGUCGUCUCUCGGA